Molecule: long non-coding RNA, 320 nt
Organism: Perognathus longimembris pacificus (Pacific pocket mouse)
Lineage: Eukaryota; Metazoa; Chordata; Mammalia; Rodentia; Heteromyidae
Exons: 3
Source: RefSeq, a predicted model, not a curated record
CCCCAGUAGUUUGAUUACGUUCCCUUUUUGGCACAGUUUUGGGUUAUUUUUCUUGGAGUUGUCUUUUAGAAAUGUUUCAUUGUUUUAUGUGUGUACUGUCCUAUUUCUGUAAAGAUUGUAUGACUAUGGGUUUUCUAGCUCUUAAGCAUAUAUUAUCAGUUCUGCCUCCUGUGUGUAAAUGUAGAAGGGAAGAGGACAACCUGUCUCCCAGAGUUAUCCUUCCCUUCCUGUGAUUUAGACUUGGCAGGUUUUAUUGCAUUUUGAAGCUAAUGUCUGAUGGUCUAUUGACCAUAGUGUUGUAUCUUUUGUUUUGAUUCUUU